GAGUAUAGUUUUAGGUCUAGCCUGCCCACUGAUUUUUAAAUGGCCGCGGUAUAUUGACCGUGCAAAGGUAGCAUAGUAAUUAGUUCUUUAAUUGAGAGCUUGAAUGAAAGGUUUAAUGGAAAAAUAACUGUCUCUGGGAAAAUUUGAUAGAAUUUUAUUUUUAAGUAAAAAGGCUUAGAUUUCUGUAAAAGACGAGAAGACCCUAUAGAGUUUAAUAAAUGAAGAAUGUUCGAGAGUGAAGAAGUAAAUUAUUUUGAGUUUGUGUAAUUUAUUUUAUUGGGGUGAUAGGAAAAUUUGAAAAACUUUUCUUCAUUUGUUAUAUGAAUAUGUAUAUAUAUGAUCCUUUAAUUAAGAUUAAAAGAAAAAAUUACCUUAGGGAUAACAGCGUAAUUUUUCCUAGAGUUCUUAUCGAAGGAAAAGUUUACGACCUCGAUGUUGGAUUAAAAUUAAUUGUUGGUGAAGAAGCUGAUGAGAUUAGGUCUGUUCGACCUUUAAAAUUUUACAUGAUCUGAGUUUAAACCGGUGUGAGCCAGGUCGGUU
Molecule: ribosomal RNA, 540 nt
Filed under: Trigonopterus sampunensis
Lineage: Eukaryota; Metazoa; Arthropoda; Insecta; Coleoptera; Curculionidae
Description: partial large subunit ribosomal RNA
Rfam family: Bacterial large subunit ribosomal RNA
Source: RNAcentral